RNAcentral lists this long non-coding RNA (328 nucleotides) under Lathyrus oleraceus (garden pea). RNAcentral describes it as "Pisum sativum (pea) long non-coding RNA (PSAT_LNC008672)". Lineage: Eukaryota; Viridiplantae; Streptophyta; Magnoliopsida; Fabales; Fabaceae. The record is from RNAcentral.
AAACAAUUAGGAAAUGCCACAAAUAAUUCCAAGAAAAUUCACAUGUAAACUAGACAUACAAGAGUAGGUUCAUGCAAAAUUUUGGAUCAAUUGGAGGUCAAGAAGCAUGGUAAUGAAAAUCAUGAAGUUGGACAUCAAUGGUGUGACACAAAUUGUCACACCCUAAUUCAAAAAUUCAUAACUCACAAACCAGCAAUGAUAAAUUCACAAACUCUACACCAAAAUCACCAUGAGUGUGUCUAGUUUAAGCACAAAAAAUUUGGGAGCCAUUGGAUACAUUCUCAUCAUUUCACAAAUGUUUUGGCAAAGUGUACAAUAUUUGGUCACA